Molecule: ribosomal RNA, 734 nt
Filed under: uncultured fungus
Lineage: Eukaryota; Fungi
Description: eukaryotic LSU rRNA
Rfam family: 5.8S ribosomal RNA (bases 311-464)
Source: RNAcentral
CUUGGUCAUUUAGAGGAAGUAAAAGUCGUAACAAGGUUUCCGUAGGUGAACCUGCGGAAGGAUCAUUAUUGAAAUAAACCUGAUAGGUUGUUGCUGGUUCUCUCGGGAGCAUGUGUGCACACUUGUCAUCUUUAUAUAUCUCCACCUGUGCACCUUUUGUAAAUCUGAAUAUCUUUCUGGAAAUGCCUGGCAUAUUCAGGUUUGAGGAUUGAUCUUUUUCUUUCCUUACAUUUUCAGGUUUAUGUUUUUCAUAUACCCCAAGUAUGUUAUAGAAUGUUAUAAACGGGCCUUUGUGCCUAUAAAUUUAUACAACUUUCAGCAACGGAUCUCUUGGCUCUCGCAUCGAUGAAGAACGCAGCGAAAUGCGAUAAGUAAUGUGAAUUGCAGAAUUCAGUGAAUCAUCGAAUCUUUGAACGCACCUUGCGCUCCUUGGUAUUCCGAGGAGCAUGCCUGUUUGAGUGUCAUUAAUAUAUCAACCUCUUCAGCUUUUUGCAUGUUGAGUUGUUGGAUGUGGGGGKRUUUUUGCUGGACUCUAGAAUSUGAGGUCAGCUCCCCUAAAAUGUAUCAGCGAAACAAUUUGUUUACCGCUCAUUGGUGUGAUAACUAUCUACGCUAUUGACGGUGAAAGCACGUUUAGCUCCUAACAGUCCAUUAGCUUGGACAACCUCUUAUUAAUGUGACCUCAAAUCAGGUAGGACUACCCGCUGAACUUAAGCAUAUCAAUAAGCGGAGGA